UGCAUACAUGUGGUAUGCACAUGCAGACAAAACACUCAAACACAUAAAAUAAAAAUAGCAAAAAAAAAAUCCUUUUUUGCAAUCCAGAACUCAUUGUUUGGUAUGGGUUUUGAUACAUAUAAGAAGAAAUAUG
Small nucleolar RNA from Nannospalax galili (Upper Galilee mountains blind mole rat), 133 nucleotides. RefSeq annotates it as small nucleolar RNA SNORA40. The record is from RefSeq and is a predicted model, not a curated record. NCBI's taxonomy places the organism in Eukaryota, Metazoa, Chordata, Mammalia, Rodentia, Spalacidae. The transcript has a single exon.